AGAGAGAGACAUGCGCGCAUAUCAAUAAGCGGAGGAAAAGAAACUAACAAGGAUUCCCCUAGUAACGGCGAGUGAAGCGGGAAGAGCUCAAAUUUGAAAUCUUAAAGGGUUUCCCUUUACGAAUUGUAGUUUAAAGAAGUGUUUUCUGUUGAGGUUUUGGUAAAAGUUCUUUGGAAUAGGACAUCAUAGAGGGUGAGAAUCCCGUAUUUGACCUUUACUUUCAACUUUGUGAUACACUUUCAAAGAGUCGGAUUGUUUGGGAAUGCAGUCCAAAAUGAGUGGUAAAUUUCAUCUAAAGCUAAAUAUUGGCGAGAGACCGAUAGCGAACAAGUACCGUGAGGGAAAGAUGAAAAGAACUUUGAAAAGAGAGUUAAACAGUACGUGAAAUUGUCAAAAGGGAAGCGUUUGACACCAGUGUUGUUUUUCUGAAAAUCAAUUAAAGAACUGUUUAUGCUAAGUUGUUUAGACUUUAUCAGCUAUCUGUUUAGUUUUGAGCUUUUCUUUAAUGCACUUUUCAGUUAACAAGUCAACAUCAAUUUCUUUUGCUGUAAAAAAGCUUGAGGAAGGUGGCUUGAGAUUCGUCUUAAGUGUUUAUAGCCUCUUGCCUAUGCAGUCGGAGAGAUUGAGGUCUGCAGCGUAGAUCCUUCGGGGCUAAAUGCAUUUGUGCUAAGUUAUAGCAUUUUAUAGACAACUUGUUGACUAUGAUUUGUCUUGUAGCUUACUCGCUUAUGUUAUUUUACCUACGCUUAGGAUGUUGACGCAUGAGAUAUACGC
Molecule: ribosomal RNA, 774 nt
Filed under: uncultured Neocallimastigales
Lineage: Eukaryota; Fungi; Neocallimastigomycota; Neocallimastigomycetes; Neocallimastigales
Description: partial large subunit ribosomal RNA
Rfam family: Eukaryotic large subunit ribosomal RNA
Source: RNAcentral